CAGUUAUCACUAGGAUCAAAAUGUAAGUGUAAACUGCAAAGAAACUCGUUCGUAAAAGCACGGAAGACAGUUCUGUAGAAUCAAACGUAAACGUAAACUGUAAUGUACGAAAAUACGAAUUUACGUCUGAAUGCAGAUUCGGAAGAACAGCACUUAGAACUUGUUCGUGAAAGCGCAGAGAGCAGUAGUAAUGAAGGAGGUUUGCAGUAAUGAUAAAGUGCUCAAAAAUAAACGCAAACCAGAGAUUUAGAGUGGUUCGGUCAGCCUUGACCUACUCCAAUUUUGGCUUCCUCCACCGACGAGGUCGCCGAUGUCAACUAGGGGCCUUCCUUCAAUAGGCGAAGGCCAAACUUCCCUUUUACAGUUUCUCUCCUUUUGACAGGCUCAGGAGACAACCUUUAUAGACCUUUCUCUCCUCACUUUACAACUGAAAACUUGAAGAAUAGAAGGAGGAGACUUAAAGGCUUUACAACACUUUUGAGCUCUUAGAAUCACAGAAAAGAUCAAGAUUUCGGUGUAGGUCUGUAUCUUUUCAGU
This 537-nucleotide long non-coding RNA is filed under the name Musa acuminata (dwarf banana). RNAcentral describes it as "long non-coding RNA (MACU_LNC008443)". The record is from RNAcentral. Lineage: Eukaryota; Viridiplantae; Streptophyta; Magnoliopsida; Zingiberales; Musaceae.